GUGUCAGCCGCCGCGGUAAUACGGAGGGUGCAAGCGUUAUCCGGAUUCACUGGGUUUAAAGGGUGCGUAGGCGGACAGGUAAGUCAGUGGUGAAAUCUCUGGGCUUAACUCAGAAACUGCCGUUGAUACUAUCUGUCUUGAAUAUCCUGGAGGUAAGCGGAAUAUGUCAUGUAGCGGUGAAAUGCUUAGAUAUGACAUAGAACACCGAUAGCGAAGGCAGCUUACUACAGGAUGAUUGACGCUGAGGCACGAAAGCGUGGGGAGCAAACAGGAUUAGAAACCCGUGUAGUCC
This 292-nucleotide ribosomal RNA is filed under the name uncultured bacterium. Its description in RNAcentral is "partial 16S ribosomal RNA". It matches the Rfam family "Bacterial small subunit ribosomal RNA", at positions 505 to 796 of the family's 1533-position model. The record is from RNAcentral.